Bradysia coprophila is the source of this 381-nucleotide long non-coding RNA. RefSeq lists it as uncharacterized. NCBI's taxonomy places the organism in Eukaryota, Metazoa, Arthropoda, Insecta, Diptera, Sciaridae. The record is from RefSeq and is a predicted model, not a curated record.
GUCGGCAUCAAAGUGCUUUCGACAACCAGUAAAAAAUGAAGUUUAUAAUUACCUUACUACUAAUCGGAGUGACAGUCCAAAACUGCGUCGCCACAAUUCCUAUUUCAUUCAGAUACCCAACAAGUUCAUGCUCCUGGUUUGAUCUUGGUAGACGUCAAGCUAUUUUUCCAUUUUGUUGGCCAGGUGGAUAUCCGUAUCCGGUCGCCCCACCAAACGGUUGUUAUCCGUAUGAUUUUCGAGCUCAUCAAGAUCCCAACGUUCCAUGUCUGCCGCCCAUUCUUCCGUGUCCUCAAAGUCCGACUGGCUGUGUAGUACCACCGUGUACUGGACGAUACAUAAUCGUUAGAUAAGUUUUAGUGAUUAAAAACAUAAUUCAAAUAA